UAAACAUUUUCUAGAUUUUUUCAGUCCGAAAUUUUCUCUUCGCAAAAGUGUUUUCAUUUGACGUAAUUUGGGAAUUAUAUUUGAUUUAACAGCUUAAAAAGAGGCACACGACUAAAAAUAAAUUCCUUUAUUAAAUGUAUUUUUUGUUUAAACAUUUUGUGUUUAUAUAUCGAAUAAUAAUUUUGGGGAGAGUUGGUGUUUUUUUUGUUGUGUUAAGCAGUUUCGUUAAAAGAGUUAAAUGCGUCUUUAAAAAGCGCUUAAAAUUUAAAAAAAAAUGAAAAAAAUUAAACAUUAAUUGAAAUUAUUUUUGAACUGUUGCGCCGAACACACCUUUAAAAAUACACACAAGUAAAAUAGAAAAAUAAAAGAAAAAAAAAACGAUAAAGCCCAAGUUAUUUUAGUCGCGCAAAGUAAAAUACGAAAUAAAAGAUAAGAAAAAAAAAUAUAAAAAGCAACAACAAAAUCAACUCAAUAAGCUAGACAGCAGACAGAAUAUAAUACGAACCUCAAAACUAAAAAAUCUGAAAUAUCGCUGGGAAUAAAUUCUAACGUAAAAAAAUAUAUGUAUUUUAAUAAUAAUUUUCAGGAAAUUACGCCUAUUUUAAUUAAUAUUUAACGAAAUGAGAUUAUUGAAUAAGAAAUGACAAGUUAGUCACAAUGAGAAUUCAAUCCAUUGAAUAAGAGAGAGAGAGAGAGAGAGUAAUUUUUAUGCUAGUCGAGUUCACAUGUGCAUAAGUGUCUGUGCGCGCGCUAGCGUGUGUGUUUGCCAGAGCAAGGUGAAUUGCAUAAACUGAGAUAAAGAAAAAAAAAAGAGCAGCAUUAAUGAAAAAACUGCGGCAAUUUACUUUCUUAGCUUUUAAUUCAUUUCCAUUUCUAAAGUAAAGAAAAGUUUAUAUUUUUUUAUUUGUCUCCGUGCUUAUUUGUUUGAUUUACAUUUUUAUAAUUCGAAAAAGUGUUUUAAACGCGAUUAUUUUAACGGUGUGUAAUUAAGUAUCCCUUAAACAAUAAAAAAAAAGCGUUAUCUUAUUAAAUUCCUGUUUCGAUUAGUGUAAGGAAAAAUAUUUA
Long non-coding RNA from Glossina fuscipes, 1065 nucleotides. RefSeq lists it as uncharacterized. The record is from RefSeq and is a predicted model, not a curated record. Lineage: Eukaryota; Metazoa; Arthropoda; Insecta; Diptera; Glossinidae. The transcript is spliced from 2 exons.